Gasterosteus aculeatus aculeatus (three-spined stickleback) is the source of this 3969-nucleotide long non-coding RNA. Lineage: Eukaryota; Metazoa; Chordata; Actinopteri; Perciformes; Gasterosteidae. The record is from Ensembl.
GUGUGUGUGUGUGUGUGUGUGUGUGUGUGUGUGUGUGUGUGUGUGUGUGUGUGUGUGCAGUGAGGUCUUCAGCUGAGGCUUCUCACGGUACAGAGGGCGGAAAGGGAAAAAAGAAGGAUUGAGUCGGGAGAAGAUUGUAUCAAAAUAAGAGAACCCCAAAGCUGCCUGUAAGGGACUAAGACUUAAGCAAUAAACAUUUUUCACCACGUCUAUUCACCACACAAGAUUUAUUAAUAUGCGCUGUGCCUUAAUAUCACAACAUUCUUCUACAUCUGUAAAUACAAACAUGUCUUAUUUUAUAGAGAGCUUAAGUGAUACCACAUACUUUACUCACACACGGAUCUGUGCAAAGAAGAUGUUCUAAAAACACUUGAUGAGUACGAUUGGUGCAAUAUUCUGUAAACACUUUAAAACCGCUGCUGGAAUACAAGCCAAAUGCAACUGUGAAAAGCAUUCUGCAAGGACUUGAGGAAAGGGCAACUCUAAACAGUCAGGAUGAACAGCACCCUUUCCUUUAUACCCUGCAUUAGGGAUUUUAAAGGAUCAUGUUCCCAUAGAUUACUUUUAGAUUUUGUAGGUGUCAUGAAGCCUGAAUACUGCCAUAUAUCUACGUUUCUAUCUGUACUACACAUUAUACAGUUACAUUACAGGUAAUUUAAGCUGACGCUUUUAUCCAAAGCGACUUACAUUGUAUUUUUACGCAUGGCUUUUACAUUUUUGCCCGGGGAGCAAUUAGGGGUUAGGUGUCUUGCUCAGGGACACUUCGACAUGGGACAUGGAGCAGCCGGGGCUCGAACCACUCUCUACCCCUGCGCUACGUUGACACUAAUUACAGCCUUCUUUUAAUUAACAGGAGUGACAGUGGUUAAUUUUGAGUAAACUGUUGAGUGUGUGAAACACUGAUUAGCACUACUGUAGUCAAAUCCAGAUGCAUACAGAUGAUAAGAUGCAAAAGCUUGGUCAUCCCAACAGCAGUCACUGGCAGGUUGAGGAGGCAGAUGAUCCAAGUACUGGUACGCCGUCUUGCUGUUCCAUGAAGCCAUUUAGUGCUGCUGUUGAUGACACGGUCUCCCUGGCGUUUCCAUCUCUAAACUCAGAAGGACAAGCAGAGUGCCUUACGUACAUCUCACGUCUGGCCUCGCAAUAAUCACGUGAUUUCAUUUUUCUUGAGAUCAAGACGUAAUUUUUUGUUAUCUCGAGACAAGAAAGCUUGCUUUCCUGUGUCAAGUUAAGUUAUGCAAAUUCAGAAAGAAAAGGCAUGUCUAAAGAUAAUUUGAUGAUUUCUCCCAACGAGAUGAAUUGCUUUCUGGAGAUAAUUAUGGAGAACCCAUAAAGUAGUUAAUUUGAUCACACAAGCCCAGAGAGGCAACACUGCCAGCAGUUUAAAUAUUUUUAAUUAGUUGUUAUCUUGAGAUAACAAAUCUUAUUUUCACAUGAUACCGAGUUUCAUGGAUUCUGGAAAAAACAGAAGGCAGAUUUGUCCUUCCAAGAUUUUCUUGGAAGGACAAAACAAUUAUUGGGUCCUAAAAAUGAGUUUUUUUUAUCACACAGUUCAGUUGUAAUUAACGCUUUAACUUAUCUAUUUCCGGCCAGGCUAUUCUCCUCAAUGUUAACGGAUCCAAAAUAUAUCUCUAACAGAAAGACACAUUUCAGAAGUAAUGAUAGGAAUUUGCAUUUUGCUAAGCUGGUUUCCUCAUAAUAAAUAUUAACUUGUGAGCUUGAGAUUAUGGAACAGACAGUAGUGCAAGCACAACCUUUCUCCUUCUCUGUAGGAGAUCACCUGGUGGAUGUAUUUUUUUGUAAUUAUUAGUUAUACAUGCUGUGUCACCAAAGCUUUAAAAGGUGAUUUUAUUUGUGUAGGACGUGAUGUAUGUUGGACCUUUUCAUCUGUUUCUUUCUCUGUUCUAAACUAAUUUUAUGAUCUUGUUUGAUUCUGCUAACCUAGUGUACAGAAUAAAGUUUUACUCACUACAACAAUGCUUUUUGUUUUUUUCUUUUUUAAAUAGAAUGGGACUCUAUUUUAGUUAUGGAGGCCACCAUGUUUCAUAUGUUCAAAAACACAAGUGCGUGAUGAGCCAUCCCGGGGAUACAGAGUCGACCAAAGCUUUGUCAAAAAAAUCAUUUCCAAGAUGUGUGCAGUGAGAAAGAAGGUUUGUGUGAGUCAGGGUUUACAGAGAAUGGUCCCAAAAAGGAAAUAUCCAGUUAGCGUAUGAGUGAGUUGUAUGGACAGAAAUGCCUUGCUGGUGUUAGAGGAGAAUGGGCAGACUGGUUUGAGAUGAUAGAAAGGCCCCAGUAACUCAAAUAACCACUUGUCACAACCAGGGAAUGCAGAAUAGCAUCUCUGAACUCACAACAAGUGGAACCUUGAAGAUGGGCUACAGCAGAAGAAGACCACACUGGGUAUCACUCCUGUCAGCUAACAACAGGAAACUGAGACUACAAUUCUCACAGGCUCACCACAAUGAGACAAUAGAAGAUUCUAAACAACAUUGCCUGAUCUGAUGAGUGUUGAUUUCAGCAGCGACAUUAAAAUAGUAGGGUCAGAAUGUUGGCGUAAACAACAUUAAGGCAUGGAUCCAUCCUGCCUUGUAUUAACUGUUCAGGUUGCUGGUGGUGGUGGGGGUUAUUUUCUUGGCACACUUUGGGCCCCUUAGUACCAAUUGAGAAUACUUUUAUCUAGAAGCAUAUCACCAUUUUAUUUGAGCUGCUUGUUCAUUUGAUUAAUUUCAAGAUGAGACUUGUUUAACUAUUUAUUUAGGUAUUUCAUUAAUGCUUUUCUCUCUGUAAAGUACUUUUGAUUUCCCUGUUUAUAAUAACAAUGUCAAUUCUAAUAAUAACCUUCAUACUGUACCACAAUAGAGAGUUUCAAUGUUUAUCCCUGUUUUGUGUGGACAGGUAUUUCCUAACUUGAUAUCAAUAAAAAUGAUUGUAAAAAAAAAAAGCUAAAUGAAUAGCAGGACACAUUGGAAACAUGUCUUUUUUCCUUUGUUGUUUUCCCAUUCACCUGUGUUUCUUCCUACACUACAGCAUUUCCGAAGAACAGAUCAGACCCACAGCGCGAAGCCAUGCUCCUACCAUCCCACAGAUGUGUGUUACGUGUCAGGCUGGGGCAAGACACCUUUCCCCCAUCCUGCCUGUGGAUUUCUCUUGGCUUGGUCUCUGUCCUGUUCCAGGUGCAAUCAAGGUGGAACUGCACUGUUUUGCAAACGGCAUGUUUUAAUAUGCCGUGGGACAUGCCGAAACUGUAAAUAAAGGCACUAUUUUCCAUACUGUCAGAAGUGGGUGUUUAGCACUGAUGUCCUUUGCACACAUCUUUAUUACCUGCCUCAUUUCUUUGAAAAUACGAACUUCUAAAACUUCUUUCCUCCAAGUAUGUAAGUAGAGUUCUUAACAGACUAACAGACUCAUGCCAUCAGGAAAAUACAUCCAAAACUACUUACCGUUAUCAGUUUUCUGUGUCGGAAGGGUCUCAAUAAAUCUCCACAGGGAGCGAAGAGUUCGUCGCCACUAGCUCACAUCCCAGCUCUGUGGCUCUCGCUAUCUGUCCAGCCUUUGUUCUUCCCCUCACUCCAUCUACUCUGCGUUUACUCCCCGAUUCAAACCACAGAGACGCCUCUUUUUCACCUCAAACAAUCUCUGCUUACUUUCAGAUAGCCGGGACUAAACUCUUAAUUCUACACCUUUAAACCUUUUAUAACGAGAUAUUGGCAGAGGUCGAGAGCCAUGAACUUGCUCAUGCAGAGUUUUUUCUUACGUUAUAAAAUAAAAAGAGUUUGUUUUAAUCGACCUGCCUUCGACACAAUGAGCACAACGAUUAUUUUCAACAUUGACCUUUUUUCUACAUUUGAUUGUCUAUAAAGUUUUGUCUAUAAACGAUUAUGUACAGAUUUAUUUAAAUCAAUAGUUUCUUUCAAACCUUUGAGUUCACACACAACCUUGUACAUUCAAAAUAAAACAACCAUCUGCCGG